This 301-nucleotide ribosomal RNA is filed under the name uncultured bacterium. RNAcentral's name for it is "partial 16S ribosomal RNA". It matches the Rfam family "Bacterial small subunit ribosomal RNA", at positions 509 to 807 of the family's 1533-position model. The record is from RNAcentral.
CAGCCGCCGCGGGAAUACAGAGGGUGCGAGCGUUAAUCGGAUUUACUGGGCGUAAAGCGUGCGUAGGCGGCUUUUUAAGUCGGAUGUGAAAUCCCUGAGCUUAACUUAGGAAUUGCAUUCGAUACUGGGAAGCUAGAGUAUGGGAGAGGAUGGUAGAAUUCCAGGUGUAGCGGUGAAAUGCGUAGAGAUCUGGAGGAAUACCGAUGGCGAAGGCAGCCAUCUGGCCUAAUACUGACGCUGAGGUACGAAAGCAUGGGGAGCAAACAGGAUUAGAUACCUGCGUAGUCCCUGUCUCUUAUAC